Molecule: ribosomal RNA, 487 nt
Filed under: uncultured bacterium
Lineage: Bacteria
Description: partial 16S ribosomal RNA
Rfam family: Bacterial small subunit ribosomal RNA
Source: RNAcentral
GAUUGAACGCUGGCGGCAUGCCUUACACAUGCAAGUCGAACGGCAGCACGGGUGCUUGCACCUGGUGGCGAGUGGCGAACGGGUGAGUAAUACAUCGGAACAUGUCCUGUAGUGGGGGAUAGCCCGGCGAAAGCCGGAUUAAUACCGCAUACGAUCCACGGAUGAAAGCGGGGGACCUUCGGGCCUCGCGCUAUAGGGUUGGCCGAUGGCUGAUUAGCUAGUUGGUGGGGUAAAGGCCUACCAAGGCGACGAUCAGUAGCUGGUCUGAGAGGACGACCAGCCACACUGGGACUGAGACACGGCCCAGACUCCUACGGGAGGCAGCAGUGGGGAAUUUUGGACAAUGGGCGAAAGCCUGAUCCAGCAAUGCCGCGUGUGUGAAGAAGGCCUUCGGGUUGUAAAGCACUUUUGUCCGGAAAGAAAUCCUUGACUCUAAUACAGUCGGGGGAUGACGGUACCGGAAGAAUAAGCACCGGCUAACUACGUG